RNAcentral lists this ribosomal RNA (253 nucleotides) under uncultured bacterium. RNAcentral's name for it is "partial 16S ribosomal RNA". It matches the Rfam family "Bacterial small subunit ribosomal RNA", at positions 524 to 776 of the family's 1533-position model. The record is from RNAcentral.
UACGUAGGGGGCAAGCGUUGUCCGGAUUUAUUGGGCGUAAAGAGCUCGUAGGUGGUUCCGUAAGUCGGGUGUGAAAAAUCUGGGCUCAACCCAGUGGAGCACCCGAUACUGCGGUGACUGGAGUCCGGUAGGGGAGUGUGGAAUUCCUGGUGUAGCGGUGAAAUGCGCAGAUAUCAGGAGGAACACCGACGGCGAAGGCAGCACUCUGGGCCGGUACUGACGCUGAGGAGCGAAAGCGUGGGGAGCGAACAGG